GGGUUGUGAGGUUAAGCGACUAAGCGUACACGGUGGAUGCCCUGGCAGUCAGAGGCGAUGAAGGGCGUGCUAAUCUGCGAUAAGCGCCGGUAAGGUGAUAUGAACCGUUAUAACCGGCGAUACCCGAAUGGGGAAACCCAGUGUGAUUCGUCACACUAUCAUUAACUGAAUCCAUAGGUUAAUGAGGCGAACCGGGGGAACUGAAACAUCUAAGUACCCCGAGGAAAAGAAAUCAACCGAGAUUCCCCCAGUAGCGGCGAGCGAACGGGGAGGAGCCCAGAGCCUGAAUCAGCAUGUGUGUUAGUGGAAGCGUCUGGAAAGGCGCGCGAUACAGGGUGACAGCCCCGUACACAAAAGCGCAUGUGCUGUGAGCUCGAUGAGUAGGGCGGGACACGUGGUAUCCUGUCUGAAUAUGGGGGGACCAUCCUCCAAGGCUAAAUACUCCUGACUGACCGAUAGUGAACCAGUACCGUGAGGGAAAGGCGAAAAGAACCCCGGCGAGGGGAGUGAAAAAGAACCUGAAACCGUGUACGUACAAGCAGUGGGAGCACCCUUUGGGUGUGACUGCGUACCUUUUGUAUAAUGGGUCAGCGACUUAUAUUCUGUAGCAAGGUUAACCGAAUAGGGGAGCCGGAGGGAAACCGAGUCUUAAUUGGGCGUUAAGUUGCAGGGUAUAGACCCGAAACCCGGUGAUCUAGCCAUGGGCAGGUUGAAGGUUGGGUAACACUAACUGGAGGACCGAACCGACUAAUGUUGAAAAAUUAGCGGAUGACCUGUGGCUGGGGGUGAAAGGCCAAUCAAACCGGGAGAUAGCUGGUUCUCCCCGAAAGCUAUUUAGGUAGCGCCUCGUGAAUUCAUCUCCGGGGGUAGAGCACUGUUUCGGCUAGGGGGCCAUCCCGGCUUACCAACCCGAUGCAAACUGCGAAUACCGGAGAAUGUUAUCACGGGAGACACACGGCGGGUGCUAACGUCCGUCGUGAAGAGGGAAACAACCCAGACCGCCAGCUAAGGUCCCAAAGUCAUGGUUAAGUGGGAAACGAUGUGGGAAGGCCCAGACAGCCAGGAUGUUGGCUUAGAAGCAGCCAUCAUUUAAAGAAAGCGUAAUAGCUCACUGGUCGAGUCGGCCUGCGCGGAAGAUGUAACGGGGCUAAACCAUGCACCGAAGCUGCGGCAGCGACACUGUGUGUUGUUGGGUAGGGGAGCGUUCUGUAAGCCUGUGAAGGUGUGUCGUGAGGCAUGCUGGAGGUAUCAGAAGUGCGAAUGCUGACAUAAGUAACGAUAAAGCGGGUGAAAAGCCCGCUCGCCGGAAGACCAAGGGUUCCUGUCCAACGUUAAUCGGGGCAGGGUGAGUCGACCCCUAAGGCGAGGCCGAAAGGCGUAGUCGAUGGGAAACGGGUUAAUAUUCCCGUACUUGGUGUUACUGCGAAGGGGGGACGGAGAAGGCUAUGUUGGCCGGGCGACGGUUGUCCCGGUUUAAGCGUGUAGGUGUGUGUUCCAGGUAAAUCCGGUUCACUUUAACACUGAGGCGUGACGACGAGGCACUACGGUGCUGAAGCAACAAAUGCCCUGCUUCCAGGAAAAGCCUCUAAGCAUCAGGUAACAUCAAAUCGUACCCCAAACCGACACAGGUGGUCAGGUAGAGAAUACCAAGGCGCUUGAGAGAACUCGGGUGAAGGAACUAGGCAAAAUGGUGCCGUAACUUCGGGAGAAGGCACGCUGACACGUAGGUGAAGUGAUUUACUCAUGGAGCUGAAGUCAGUCGAAGAUACCAGCUGGCUGCAACUGUUUAUUAAAAACACAGCACUGUGCAAACACGAAAGUGGACGUAUACGGUGUGACGCCUGCCCGGUGCCGGAAGGUUAAUUGAUGGGGUCAGCGCAAGCGAAGCUCCUGAUCGAAGCCCCGGUAAACGGCGGCCGUAACUAUAACGGUCCUAAGGUAGCGAAAUUCCUUGUCGGGUAAGUUCCGACCUGCACGAAUGGCGUAAUGAUGGCCAGGCUGUCUCCACCCGAGACUCAGUGAAAUUGAACUCGCUGUGAAGAUGCAGUGUACCCGCGGCAAGACGGAAAGACCCCGUGAACCUUUACUAUAGCUUGACACUGAACAUUGAGCCUUGAUGUGUAGGAUAGGUGGGAGGCUUUGAAGUGUGGACGCCAGUCUGCAUGGAGCCGACCUUGAAAUACCACCCUUUAAUGUUUGAUGUUCUAACGUGGACCCGUUACCCGGGUUGCGGACAGUGUCUGGUGGGUAGUUUGACUGGGGCGGUCUCCUCCUAAAGAGUAACGGAGGAGCACGAAGGUUGGCUAAUCCUGGUCGGACAUCAGGAGGUUAGUGCAAUGGCAUAAGCCAGCUUGACUGCGAGCGUGACGGCGCGAGCAGGUGCGAAAGCAGGUCAUAGUGAUCCGGUGGUUCUGAAUGGAAGGGCCAUCGCUCAACGGAUAAAAGGUACUCCGGGGAUAACAGGCUGAUACCGCCCAAGAGUUCAUAUCGACGGCGGUGUUUGGCACCUCGAUGUCGGCUCAUCACAUCCUGGGGCUGAAGUAGGUCCCAAGGGUAUGGCUGUUCGCCAUUUAAAGUGGUACGCGAGCUGGGUUUAGAACGUCGUGAGACAGUUCGGUCCCUAUCUGCCGUGGGCGCUGGAGAACUGAGGGGGGCUGCUCCUAGUACGAGAGGACCGGAGUGGACGCAUCACUGGUGUUCGGGUUGUCAUGCCAAUGGCACUGCCCGGUAGCUAAAUGCGGAAGAGAUAAGUGCUGAAAGCAUCUAAGCACGAAACUUGCCCCGAGAUGAGUUCUCCCUGAGACUUAAAGUCUCCUGAAGGAACGUUGAAGACGA
This 2835-nucleotide ribosomal RNA is filed under the name Salmonella enterica subsp. enterica serovar Enteritidis. RNAcentral's name for it is "partial 23S ribosomal RNA". It matches the Rfam family "Bacterial large subunit ribosomal RNA". Lineage: Bacteria; Pseudomonadati; Pseudomonadota; Gammaproteobacteria; Enterobacterales; Enterobacteriaceae. The record is from RNAcentral.